Long non-coding RNA from Mesocricetus auratus (golden hamster), 3872 nucleotides. RefSeq lists it as uncharacterized. The record is from RefSeq and is a predicted model, not a curated record. Lineage: Eukaryota; Metazoa; Chordata; Mammalia; Rodentia; Cricetidae. The transcript is spliced from 2 exons.
AUCGCGCGCAGUGGCGCCUCCCGGGCCGGGAGCGGCGGAGGCGGGGAGAGGCCGGCCUCAGACUGCGCGGCUCUCCUGACACCGCAGGGUUUCGGCACUUAAAGUUCCCGGGGAAAGUCAAGCCCGUCGGAGACAGACACUAGGGGACCAGCCGCAGCCCCUAAUGCCACGACCAUCAGCAGACACGUCGCCCGAUCCCCAGCUCGCGCUCAGAUUCGCUGCUUUCAAAGAUGCCAUCUCAGACAUCGUCGUAACUUUCUGAAGGGCUGAACUCGUCUCGCCAUGUGUUUGAUGACGAUGCCUUUGGUUUCUGGCCCCCGCCAGCGAUCGUGCUUGGUUUCCCUUCAGGCCGAUGGCUUACUGAGGAAAUGGGAUGCUUACCUUGUCACGGGAGCGCCUUAGAUUCGGCCCGCUGUGCUGCUAUGGACCUGGUCCUCUAUCCUGCUUUAAUUGGUUUAUUCGCCCUGUUUCGUGAAAGUGUAUGGUUAUGCCUAGAGGCUGAGUUCUGAUGACUUUUUGUUUUUGUUUUUGUUUUUAUUUAGUGAUGGGGAGUAUGCGAUGUGCACAUGUGACUAAUGAAGUGUGUCGGAGUCAGCAUCCCGACACCUCCAUUUUAAAGCUUUUGCAAACCUUCCACCUAAUGGUUAUAGACGCUGUAGGCAAUAAGGGACCAGCCAAAGAAAUACACCCUGAGCAGGGCCCAAGAAACACACUCUGGCCCUGUAACCUGAGUCAAACAAAUGCCCCCUGAUCCUGAAACGUGCCAAAGAAACACACUUUGGCCCUAAAAAUCAGACUCAGUGAAAGAAAUACACCCUGGCCCAAAAUUAGAGCCAAAAGACCUAAAAGGUCCAGAGAAAGAAAUACACUUUGACCCUAAAAUCAGAGCCAAAUCUGACCUGGAAUCUGAGCAGAAAACCAACCAAUCCCUGACUAUGAAAUCUAACCAGUCUAAACUCAGAGAUUGAAAUCUGACCAAUCCCCAUCCUGGAAAUCUUCUCCCUGGAAAAACUUCGCCCCUAAGAAGUCCUAUAGAAACUGCUGUGCCUGUUCAACUUGUGGCUUCCGGCUGUCCUGUCCUGGAUUCUUCCCUCCCAAAUGAGGUUUGUGUGAGACCUUCCUUGACUGGAAUGGAGUGGAGGAGAGAAGAGCAGAGAAGUAACUACUUUUCACCUGAGCCAGAGCAGAAAGGAGCAUAGCAGGGCUGUAACACUUUCGCCAGGGAAACCUUCCCCUAGCAAAGCGGAGAUAGCUGAAGUGUAACAACUUCACUGGGGAAGCCCUCACCUGCUGGAGCAGAGCUGUUACACACUGGGGGAAGCCUUUCGCUGGAGCAGGGCUGUAAAGCUGCUAAACUUACUGUGACCUGUGGUAUUCUUUGACUCCCAAGUGGCCCUGAAUCCCUGUCCACCUGAGCUGCGGCAAUGCUUACAGACACCAAUGAACAUUUGUCAGGUAGAAAGCCUAGUGGUGUGCUUGCAUUUAACUCUUGGUUCAUGAGUUAGUAGGGAUGGUGUCUGGGAGCCAACUUCUGUGCUUCCUGCUAGAGGAUUAAGAGAAAGACAAGGCAAAGAAAUGGAAACUAGGAGCAUUGAUUCUGAGUUUCUGGGUCAUCGGAUUCCUUAUCCAGGUGUUUUGCAAGGUGCAGUUCCUUGAGCUAACAGAUUACCUUCCUCAGGCGAGAUUGGAGUUGUGUCUCCUCACCAACUCCAUUCUGUAGGCUCGCAAUGCUAGUUCUGAGUCUUGGUCUCUAGGGCUGCUGCUCCACAGCACUUAGAAAUUGGUAGGAUUCAGCAGAGAAGCAGAAGCGGCCUUUCAUUCUCUCCCUACUCCAUUGGAAUGAAUCUUGCCUGAAUGCCUUCUACACAUUGUUUUCAGUCAGUCUAUACAUUUAUUGAAAGACUCGCCCAUUAAGCGAAUCUGCCAGGGUUAUUCAAACUUAACAUCUCAGAUUUCCAUUGCGCAACUGCCCUUGUUUUGUGUUUUCGCGGGUUCUUGACUGGGUAAUGUAGUCUUUUUCUACUCCUCUUUCCCCACCCUGCCCUCCUUCCAUCUACACUGCACACAUUACUAACAGCAGGUUUACUCGAUUCACCUCAUGCUUUUGUUAUUCUAUAUUAUGCUCGUGUCUUACUCUACCCGUUUGCAACAUUCAGACACUUUUGGCUCCUGUUAAACUCAAAAUAUAUUUAAGACCCCACAGUAACAUUUUAAUUUUAAAAACCCUGUUCUUUCACCCCUGAUUACUUAAGUAUAUGUGAACCGCCAAUCUUUUUUGGGGGAGAUACUGUUUUGUUUUGUUUUUUUAUCACAUCUUUUAAGAGGCAUUUAGGAAAGUGAUGCAGUAGGCAUUUUUUAAAGUAAUUGUAUCUUAAGAUUUGCUUUUGUGAGACUAGUAAGUGUAAUAGGCAUGAUUAACAACUUAGCUUUAGCAGACAUUUAUUUGAAGGAUUGUCUCAGAUUAGAUUUUUUAAAUAAGGAAAAAUUAUAUUUGCAUUCUGGAACAUUUGAACUCUAUUGUUAGUAAGUAUUAUUGUUAUAAUAAUCCUAAUUGUUAACAUUAACAGUAAUCCUGUUUUAUUUAAAAAAACAGCUACUUAAAACUACUUAGCUUAGUGGGUAAUUUAAUCAAACUGUGGUACAUCUUAUAAUCAAUGACAUUUUAGAUCUAAUGAGAUGUGUUUUUUCAGUGAGGGAAAACAGACUGUAAGUUCACUGAACAAUAUUGGCACUGAUCCUAUCGGUGUUUAAGGCCAAGUCAUUUCUUUUUCCUUUAUACCUCUGAGUAUCACUAAGUCAAUACAUUCUUCAGUCGGUUACGAAGAGGGAAAAGACUUUGAGCCUAUCAUUUUAUAACCAUACUUCUGAGUUGUCAUUCAACCAUGACAGGAUAGUACACACUGAUCAGUACAAAUUCAACUUGGCUGUUUUUCUUUUUAUUCACAGAAAAGGGACAUUUUGAGAUUUGACACUCUUUAAAAACAAUAACAGCAAAAAAUCUAACAUCCACCACAAAUUAUUUCCUGUUCAGGAAUUUUGCUUUCAUUUAAAAGAGAAGGAAUUCAACCCAAAUCCUCACAUCCUCUUUAGCAGGAAGAGUUGAGUCACUUGAAACCACCACACCUAUGACAUGCUUCAUCUCCUAUGAAAUUGAUGAGCUCAAGCUGGAAGACUGAGGUGCUCAGCCUGGUUUCCAGGUUGCAACCAUAAGAACUUUCAAAACACCAGUGCGGGAGCCAGCCUGUGGGAGUUCUGACUUAGUUGUCCCCGUGGGGCUUGAGUUUCUGAGGUCUUUUUGUGUGGUUGGAGUUUCCUCCUUCUUUCUCAGCUUUGCAUUUGUUAUCUUCCUUUUCCUCGCUUCUUUCUUUCCAUCAAUUGUACUGUGUAGCAGGUGGAACUUGUCUUGAAUUCUCCACCAAGCCCAUUACUCUGCCUUUCUGCAUCCCCCCUACCCCUGCCAUAUUUAUGGCCAUAUUUGGGAAGAAUGCAGUGGUCCUGCAGGAUUCCUGGAAACAACUAUAGCCUUUUUAAACGUGUGCCAGAUUACUUAAUUUCUGGUAUCGAAGUCCAUAAACUGAAACAUACUGGAGAACCACUUCCCAAACUUUGCUAGUAAUAGACUCCUUGAUUUAAUUUCUGACAGCUUCCAGAGGUUUGAUCUAUUCUUGCCAUUCAAAGAAUGACCCAGAACAUCUCCCAGAUGCUGGCCUGGCCUUCAGUUGAUCUCUCUGUAAGAAGAUGUUUUUGCUUCUGCUUGCACCUUCAUCUCAACAUUCCUUUAUUCUACAUCAUUUAAAAAUUUCUACUUUGAAUUGGCUGUAACACCCAUCAUGCAUCUUUUUUGACUAAUAAAUUACAUAAAACCUCUGGUA